Molecule: ribosomal RNA, 493 nt
Filed under: uncultured bacterium
Lineage: Bacteria
Description: bacterial SSU rRNA
Rfam family: Bacterial small subunit ribosomal RNA
Source: RNAcentral
GAUGAACGCUAGCUACAGGCUUAACACAUGCAAGUCGAGGGGAAACGACAUCGAAAGCUUGCUUUUGAUGGGCGUCGACCGGCGCACGGGUGAGUAACGCGUAUCCAACCUGCCCACCACUUGGGGAUAACCUUGCGAAAGUAAGACUAAUACCCAAUGAUAUCUCUAGAAGACAUCUGAAAGAGAUUAAAGAUUUAUCGGUGAUGGAUGGGGAUGCGUCUGAUUAGCUUGUUGGCGGGGUAACGGCCCACCAAGGCAACGAUCAGUAGGGGUUCUGAGAGGAAGGUCCCCCACAUUGGAACUGAGACACGGUCCAAACUCCUACGGGAGGCAGCAGUGAGGAAUAUUGGUCAAUGGACGAGAGUCUGAACCAGCCAAGUAGCGUGCAGGAAGACGGCCCUAUGGGUUGUAAACUGCUUUUAUAAGGGAAUAAAGUGAGUCUCGUGAGACUUUUUGCAUGUACCUUAUGAAUAAGGACCGGCUAAUUCCGUGC